Molecule: small nucleolar RNA, 106 nt
Organism: Eutrema salsugineum
Lineage: Eukaryota; Viridiplantae; Streptophyta; Magnoliopsida; Brassicales; Brassicaceae
Rfam family: Plant small nucleolar RNA R71
About the family: R71 is a member of the C/D box family of snoRNAs containing the C (UGAUGA) and D (CUGA) box motifs. Multiple nearly identical copies of this snoRNA have been identified in Arabidopsis, and it is thought to function as a 2'-O-ribose methylation guide for 18S ribosomal RNA.
Source: Rfam
AAGCAUGGUGUGGACAUUGAUUGGUGUAGCUUCUAAACCUCUCCCAAGCUUCCCCAAAGCUUUCAUUGUUAUGUUGCUUGAAGCUUGAUAUCUGGUUUCUCAGUUU